RNAcentral lists this ribosomal RNA (2936 nucleotides) under Enterobacter hormaechei. Its description in RNAcentral is "23S ribosomal RNA". It matches the Rfam family "Bacterial large subunit ribosomal RNA". The record is from RNAcentral. Lineage: Bacteria; Pseudomonadati; Pseudomonadota; Gammaproteobacteria; Enterobacterales; Enterobacteriaceae.
GGGUUGUGAGGUUAAGCGACUAAGCGUACACGGUGGAUGCCCUGGCAGUCAGAGAGCGAUGAAGGACGUGCUAAUCUGCGAAAAGCGCCGGCGAGGUGAUAUGAACCUUUGACCCGGCGAUGUCCGAAUGGGGAAACCCAGUGCAAUCCGUUGCACUAUCGUUAACUGAAUACAUAGGUUAACGAGGCGAACCGGGGGAACUGAAACAUCUAAGUACCCCGAGGAAAGAGAAAUCAACCGAGAUUCCCCCAGUAGCGGCGAGCGAACGGGGAGCAGCCCGGAGUCUGAAUCAGCUUGUGUGUUAGUGGAACGGUCUGGAAAGUCCGACGGUACAGGGUGAUAGUCCCGUACACGAAAGCACAUUUGCUGUGAACUCGAAGAGUAGGGCGGGACACGUGGUAUCCUGUCUGAAUAUGGGGGGACCAUCCUCCAAGGCUAAAUACUCCUGACUGACCGAUAGUGAACCAGUACCGUGAGGGAAAGGCGAAAAGAACCCCGGCGAGGGGAGUGAAAAAGAACCUGAAACCGUGUACGUACAAGCAGUGGGAGCCUCUUUUUAUGGGGUGACUGCGUACCUUUUGUAUAAUGGGUCAGCGACUUAUAUUCUGUAGCAAGGUUAACCGUAUAGGGGAGCCGAAGGGAAACCGAGUCUUAACUGGGCGUUAAGUUGCAGGGUAUAGACCCGAAACCCGGUGAUCUAGCCAUGGGCAGGUUGAAGGUUGGGUAACACUAACUGGAGGACCGAACCGACUAAUGUUGAAAAAUUAGCGGAUGACCUGUGGCUGGGGGUGAAAGGCCAAUCAAACCGGGAGAUAGCUGGUUCUCCCCGAAAGCUAUUUAGGUAGCGCCUCGUGAACUCAUCUUCGGGGGUAGAGCACUGUUUCGGCUAGGGGGCCAUCCCGGCUUACCAACCCGAUGCAAACUACGAAUACCGAAGAAUGUUAUCACGGGAGACACACGGCGGGUGCUAACGUCCGUCGUGAAGAGGGAAACAACCCAGACCGCCAGCUAAGGUCCCAAAGUCAUGGUUAAGUGGGAAACGAUGUGGGAAGGCACAGGACAGCCAGGAUGUUGGCUUAGAAGCAGCCAUCAUUUAAAGAAAGCGUAAUAGCUCACUGGUCGAGUCGGCCUGCGCGGAAGAUGUAACGGGGCUAAACCAUGCACCGAAGCUGCGGCAGCGACACUAUGUGUUGUUGGGUAGGGGAGCGUUCUGUAAGCCGUUGAAGGUGUGCUGUGAGGCAUGCUGGAGGUAUCAGAAGUGCGAAUGCUGACAUAAGUAACGAUAAAGCGGGUGAAAAGCCCGCUCGCCGGAAGACCAAGGGUUCCUGUCCAACGUUAAUCGGGGCAGGGUGAGUCGACCCCUAAGGCGAGGCCGAAAGGCGUAGUCGAUGGGAAACAGGUUAAUAUUCCUGUACUUGGUGUUACUGCGAAGGGGGGACGGAGAAGGCUAUGUCAGCCGGGCGACGGUUGUCCCGGUUUAAGCAUGUAGGCGGAGGUUCCAGGUAAAUCCGGUACCUUGUUAACGCUGAGGUGUGAUGACGAGGCACUACGGUGCUGAAGUGAUAAAUGCCCUGCUUCCAGGAAAAGCCUCUAAGCAUCAGGUAACACGAAAUCGUACCCCAAACCGACACAGGUGGUCAGGUAGAGAAUACCAAGGCGCUUGAGAGAACUCGGGUGAAGGAACUAGGCAAAAUGGUGCCGUAACUUCGGGAGAAGGCACGCUGAUAUGUAGGUGAAGCCCCUGCGGGCGGAGCUGAAAUCAGUCGAAGAUACCAGCUGGCUGCAACUGUUUAUUAAAAACACAGCACUGUGCAAACACGAAAGUGGACGUAUACGGUGUGACGCCUGCCCGGUGCCGGAAGGUUAAUUGAUGGGGUUAGCGGCAACGCGAAGCUCUUGAUCGAAGCCCCGGUAAACGGCGGCCGUAACUAUAACGGUCCUAAGGUAGCGAAAUUCCUUGUCGGGUAAGUUCCGACCUGCACGAAUGGCGUAAUGAUGGCCAGGCUGUCUCCACCCGAGACUCAGUGAAAUUGAACUCGCUGUGAAGAUGCAGUGUACCCGCGGCAAGACGGAAAGACCCCGUGAACCUUUACUAUAGCUUGACACUGAACACUGGUCCUUGAUGUGUAGGAUAGGUGGGAGGCUUUGAAGCGUGGACGCCAGUCUGCGUGGAGCCAACCUUGAAAUACCACCCUUUAAUGGCUGGUGUUCUAACGUAGACCCGUAAUCCGGGUUGCGGACAGUGUCUGGUGGGUAGUUUGACUGGGGCGGUCUCCUCCCAAAGAGUAACGGAGGAGCACGAAGGUUGGCUAAUCCUGGUCGGACAUCAGGAGGUUAGUGCAAUGGCAUAAGCCAGCUUGACUGCGAGCGUGACGGCGCGAGCAGGUGCGAAAGCAGGUCAUAGUGAUCCGGUGGUUCUGAAUGGAAGGGCCAUCGCUCAACGGAUAAAAGGUACUCCGGGGAUAACAGGCUGAUACCGCCCAAGAGUUCAUAUCGACGGCGGUGUUUGGCACCUCGAUGUCGGCUCAUCACAUCCUGGGGCUGAAGUAGGUCCCAAGGGUAUGGCUGUUCGCCAUUUAAAGUGGUACGCGAGCUGGGUUUAGAACGUCGUGAGACAGUUCGGUCCCUAUCUGCCGUGGGCGCUGGAGAAUUGAGGGGGGCUGCUCCUAGUACGAGAGGACCGGAGUGGACGCAUCACUGGUGUUCGGGUUGUCAUGCCAAUGGCACUGCCCGGUAGCUAAAUGCGGAAGAGAUAAGUGCUGAAAGCAUCUAAGCACGAAACUUGCCCCGAGAUGAGUUCUCCCUGAGACCUUGAGUCUCCUGAAGGAACGUUGAAGACUACGACGUUGAUAGGUCGGGUGUGUAAGCGCAGCGAUGCGUUGAGCUAACCGAUACUAAUGAACCGUGAGGCUUAACCUUACAACGCCGAAGCUGUU